RNAcentral lists this long non-coding RNA (698 nucleotides) under Helianthus annuus (common sunflower). Its description in RNAcentral is "hypothetical non coding rna". The record is from RNAcentral. Lineage: Eukaryota; Viridiplantae; Streptophyta; Magnoliopsida; Asterales; Asteraceae.
GUAUAAUUUCAGAUUUAAUUAAUAGUAAAUUACUUUUUGAAUCUCUAUGUUUUAUUGGUUUUAACCAUUUAAAUCCAAAAUCGAAAAGUUUAACGCCCUGAGUCUCUAACCACUCAUUCACACCCUCUGAAAAAAAUUCAAAAAACCUUUUGUAAGGUCGAGUUCUCUAAGUUCUCACAACUCGUAGAAGUUUUCAUUUUACCCUAACUAUAUAUAUUUGUUAAGAUAAAAUAUAUUAUUUGGAUAUAGGGUGGGAGUUGCCUUCAAAGUCCAUUUUUCCUACAAAGGGUAAAAAGUCAUAAAACACCAUAAUGUCAACCAUAAAACACACUCAAAACCCACAAAUAACAUAGUGGAGGUUACUAAAACACCAUAUUUUUGGGUUUUGUAUUGUGUUUUGAAUGAUAUGGCUUUGAUUAUCGAAUGACUAACAUUAGUGUGUUUUAUGUUGAUUAUUAUAUUUGAUCUUCACUAUAUUAUUUGUAGGUUUUGAGUGUGUUCUAUGGCUGAAAUUGUGGUGUUUUAAGACUUUGUACACUUUGUAGGAAAAAUGGACUUUGUAGCGGAACCCUACCCUUUGGAUAUAAACAAUAAUUACUAAUAAAAUAUCAAAUCACAUGUACAAGUACUUAUAGUAUAUAACUUCGAAGACAAAAAUUACAAGCGAAUUAUCUAAAUAAGGAGUAGGAUCAAAUACA